Tripterygium wilfordii is the source of this 1537-nucleotide long non-coding RNA. RefSeq lists it as uncharacterized. Lineage: Eukaryota; Viridiplantae; Streptophyta; Magnoliopsida; Celastrales; Celastraceae. The record is from RefSeq and is a predicted model, not a curated record. The transcript is spliced from 3 exons.
GUCUUCUCCCCUUCUUCUUCUUCUUCUUCCCUCUAUUUGUUGUAUAUGGGAUAGAACAAAAUACAAACCCUAAAAAAAAUUUUGAUAAGCAAGAAACCCUAAAAUUAGUUUUGUGUCUGUGUAUUUUUGGAAUUGGUGUUUUCUUCCUCACAGAUUCUGGUAAGAAAUUGAGAGAGAAGAGGGAAAGAAGAAAGAGUGACAGAAGAGAGUGAGCAUAGGCAGGCAAUUGUACAUACAUAGUCUAUUCUUUUGCCGGCGCGUGCUCACUUCUCUUUCUGUCAAACCUUCUCUUUUCACUUUCCUUCACAACAAACAUUUUGCAGAUGUCACUUCCCCCCAUUCUCACAAAUUUACCAGUAAAAGAUGGUAUUCGAGGUGUCGACAUACGGAUCCGGAUGAGAUGAGUGCUUGCUGCUGCCACAAAACACUGCAAAUUUGUAGUACUACUACUCUUCGCUGCUCUCUUUUGUUUUUUAGCUCAUCAGAGUAGCUUUAAUUGCUCUUUCUUUAUUGGUCGAUUCUUAUUAUUUUAUGCUUUUCGUGGUGGAGCUGAACACUUUGUACCCGGAAACUGGAUAAGCGCGACUUUUAAUGGUACUUUUUCUUUCAAUUUGUUGAAGACGAUGCGGUACUACGCCGCCUCCUCCUCACAAAAUUAUUAUCUAGGUUUUCUUUUAAUGACUCUUUAUCUUCUUCGUUAAUUGUUCUAGAACUCAUAGGGGCGGGCCUGUAUGGUUGCAGCGAUAUCAUAUCACGCUAAAUCUGUCCCCGAUUCUUGUUUCUCUCUUCUAUCUUAUCCCGCAUAGGGUUUUGCAUAUUAGGUUUUUCAAUUUUCAAACACUAUUUCGGGCUUCUCGGUUUGGAUUUUGUUGACAGGGAAGAAGAAGAAGAAGACGAAGUGUGUGUAGCUUUUGAAAAUGAAUGUUCAGAGUUGAUUUCACAAAUAUGGGAAAAAUAUCUGCUUUCCUCUUCGGUUUCGGCAAAUUUCCUUGUAGAGACACACUUGAUUUUUUGGGCGAGAAACGACUUCUAUUUGCUGCAGCAGCUUAUUCUCUCUCAGAUGUCCAAUGGAAGAAGAGACGCAGUGCAUGAUUUCAAAUAGCGAGGUUUCGGAUUCAAAUAGCAGAGCAUCCUGCAAGCAAACAAGGUAUGUUACAGGCAGCACUUUGACAUGCAAAGGUGUGGUACCACAGCAAAUGGUCACUGGGGUGCACAACACAAAUAUAUAUUCUAAUCGCCAAAGAAUUUGGCUUGGAACUUUCAGAGCACAAAAAGAAGCGGCUAUGGCUUACAAUAGCGCAACAAUCAAACUCCGGAGUGGAGAUUCUCGCAGGGAUUUGCAGUCAUUACAGUUCCGAAGCAGUUCUUAACAUCCCGGACUUUAUUUACCACUGUUUUAUGUUCUGUCUUAUGCUUUGGGGUGUAUUUCAGAGUUGUAUGAGAUUUUGGUUAUUUUUGGUGUGAUUAUAAAUAUUUAAAAUUUUUAAGGGUGCGGUUAACAAGGAAUACAGUUCGAAAACGCUGGGGUGAUGCCAAA